RNAcentral lists this ribosomal RNA (253 nucleotides) under uncultured bacterium. Its description in RNAcentral is "partial 16S ribosomal RNA". It matches the Rfam family "Bacterial small subunit ribosomal RNA", at positions 524 to 776 of the family's 1533-position model. The record is from RNAcentral.
GACGAACCGUACGAACGUUAUUCGGAAUUACUGGGCGUAAAGGGCGCGUAGGCGGCCUGUCAAGUCAACUGUGAAAUCUCCGGGCUUAACUCGGAACGGUCAGUUGAUACUGUCAGGCUAGAGUGCAGAAGGGGCAAUCGGAAUUCUUGGUGUAGCGGUGAAAUGCGUAGAUAUCAAGAGGAACACCUGAGGUGAAGACGGGUUGCUGGGCUGACACUGACGCUGAGGCGCGAAAGCCAGGGGAGCAAACGGG